RNAcentral lists this ribosomal RNA (253 nucleotides) under uncultured bacterium. RNAcentral's name for it is "partial 16S ribosomal RNA". It matches the Rfam family "Bacterial small subunit ribosomal RNA", at positions 524 to 776 of the family's 1533-position model. The record is from RNAcentral.
UACGUAGGGGGCAAGCGUUGUCCGGAAUUAUUGGGCGUAAAGAGCGCGUAGGCGGUCCGAUAAGUCGGCUGUGAAAGUCCAGGGCUCAACCCUGGAAAGCCGGCCGAUACUGUCGGACUAGAGUCCGGAAGAGGCGAGUGGAAUUCCCGGUGUAGCGGUGAAAUGCGCAGAUAUCAGGAGGAACACCGAUGGCGAAGGCAGGUCUCUGGGCAUUAACUGACGCUGAGGAGCGAAAGCAUGGGGAGCGAACAGG